Molecule: long non-coding RNA, 849 nt
Organism: Daucus carota subsp. sativus
Lineage: Eukaryota; Viridiplantae; Streptophyta; Magnoliopsida; Apiales; Apiaceae
Exons: 4
Source: RefSeq, a predicted model, not a curated record
GAAGACUCAUAAACAGACAGUCGACUAAAAGCGGGCAAUGGAGAGAGAGAAAACAGAAGGUAACAGAGAUAAAAGAUCGAAGAAGGCGAGAGAGAGAGAGAGAGAGUGUGAUCGAAGAAAGCUGGUAAUGGAGGAAUCAAUCUUUUUUUCCUAAUAACUUGAAGGAGGAAUUCCACCUAUACGGAUGGAAAUUAAUCAAGUGCAAGCAGAUAGAAGAUCUCCUUAAUUGGAUUACUGGCACAAGGGACCCUACAUGAACAUCACUUUUACCAGGAACUCCCCGUUAUGACUUCCAGAUUGGUUCUGGCAGUCACCCACCUCAUCCCCAACCAGUCAUUGCCGAUAGUUUACCCGUAGAGGAAACUCAAGGACUUAAGCAUACGUUUACUAACAUGGACACAGACAAUUUCCUUUCCCUACAUGUCAGGGUGAUGUCGACAGUAACGGGACAAUUGAUUACAUGGAAUUUAUAGCUGCGACGAUGCAUCGAUACACACUGGAGAGGGAUGAAUAUCUCUACAAGGCAUUCCAGCAUUUUGACACAACAGUGGGAAGACCAUGUAAUGGUGCGGAUGUGCUACCAGAUUUGGCUGGGGCUUUGAAGCCUUUGUCUCCAAAGCAAUAACGCUCUAUAGACCUAUAUGAACUUGCACAAUCCACCAAAAUUGUUGUUGAGGAACUUGCUCUACACCAGGCUCUUAACAAUCUAAUUGAGGGUGCUUUGUUGAUUUCCAGAGAUGCCCCAGCACAUCGUGCUCUUGGAAUAAUCAAUCACAAUGGGCCUGAUAUGUCAAGUCUAUUGUUACUCAUUUUUUGUUGAUCAAAAUUUUGGUGUAAUAAUCUAGACUU